RNAcentral lists this ribosomal RNA (496 nucleotides) under uncultured bacterium. Its description in RNAcentral is "partial 16S ribosomal RNA". It matches the Rfam family "Bacterial small subunit ribosomal RNA", at positions 28 to 506 of the family's 1533-position model. The record is from RNAcentral.
GAUGAACGCUGGCGGCGUGCCUAAUACAUGCAAGUCGAGCGAACAGACGAGGAGCUUGCUCCUCUGACGUUAGCGGCGGACGGGUGAGUAACACGUGGAUAACCUACCUAUAAGACUGGGAUAACUUCGGGAAACCGGAGCUAAUACCGGAUAAUAUAUUGAACCGCAUGGUUCAAUAGUGAAAGACGGUUUUGCUGUCACUUAUAGAUGGAUCCGCGCCGCAUUAGCUAGUUGGUAAGGUAACGGCUUACCAAGGCAACGAUGCGUAGCCGACCUGAGAGGGUGAUCGGCCACACUGGAACUGAGACACGGUCCAGACUCCUACGGGAGGCAGCAGUAGGGAAUCUUCCGUAAGGGGCGAAAGCCUGACGGAGCAACGCCGCGUGAGUGAUGAAGGUCUUCGGAUCGUAAAACUCUGUUAUUAGGGAAGAACAAAUGUGUAAGUAACUAUGCACGUCUUGACGGUACCUAAUCAGAAAGCCACGGCUAACUACGU